AGACGUCUAGGCGGAUUGAGAGAUUGACCGCCAACACUGGGACUGAGAACUGCCCAGACUCCUACGGGAGGCUGCAGUCGAGAAUCAUUCGCAAUGGGCGAAAGCCUGACGAUGCGACGCCGUGUGAGCGAAGAAGGCCUUCGGGUCGUAAAGCUCUUUCGCCUGGGAACAAGAGAAGUUGGCUAAUAACCAGCUAAUUUGAGGGUACUAGGUAAAGAAGCACCGGCUAACUCCGUGCCAGCAGCUGCGGUAAUACGGAGGGUGCAAGCAUUAAUCGGAUUUAUUGGGCGUAAAGGGCGCGUAGGCGGAGAGAUAAGUCAGAUGUGAAAUCCUGGGGCUCAACCUCAGAACUGCAUUUGAAACUGUCUAUCUAGAGGGUAGGAGGAGAAAACGGAAUUCCACAAGUAGCGGUGAAAUGCGUAGAUAUGUGGAAGAACACCGGUGGCGAAGGCGGUUUUCUAUCUUAUUCCUGACGCUGAGGCGCGAAAGCAAGGGGAUCAAACAGGAUUAGAUACCCUGGUAGUCCUUGCCGUAAACGAUGUAUACUUGGUGUAACUGGACUCAACCCUAGUUGUGCCGUAGCUAACGCGUUAAGUAUACCGCCUGGGGAGUACAGUCGCAAGGCUGAAACUCAAAAGAAUUGACGGGGACCCGCACAAGCAGUGGAGCAUGUGGUUUAAUUCGAUCCACGCGAAGAACCUUACCCAGACUUGACAUGCAGUAGACCGGUCCAGAAAUGGGCCUUUCCUUCGGGACUGCUGCACAGGUGCUGCAUGGCUGUCGUCAGCUCGUGCCGUGAGGUGUUGGGUUAAGUCCCGCAACGAGCGCAACCCUUAUCAUUAGUUGCCAACAUUUAAGGUGGGAACUCUAAUGAGACUGCCUGGGUUAACCAGGAGGAAGGUGAGGAUGACGUCAAGUCCGCAUGGCCCUUAUGUCUGGGGCUACACACGUGCUACAAUGGUCGGUACAGAAGGCAGCGAAACCGCGAGGUGAAGCAAAUCCCUAAAACCGGCCUCAGUUCAGAUCGUAGUCUGCAACUCGACUACGUGAAGACGGAAUUGCUAGUAAUGGCGAGUCAGCAACAUCGCCGUGAAUACGUUCCCGGGUCUUGUACACACCGCCCGUCACAUCAUGGGAGUUGGUUUUACCCGAAUCCGCUGGCUUAACCGCAAGGGAAGAAGCGUGUAAGGUGAGGCUGAUGACUGGGAUGAAGUCGUAACAAGGUA
Molecule: ribosomal RNA, 1226 nt
Filed under: metagenome
Description: bacterial SSU rRNA
Rfam family: Bacterial small subunit ribosomal RNA
Source: RNAcentral